CACGUCAGCGCGAGUUGUUGACAUGGCAACAAAUCGCGCCUUUUAUGACGCGAUUUGCUGCCACGUCAGCAAAGCGCGCUGACAUGG
Non-coding RNA from Gossypium hirsutum (cotton), 87 nucleotides. The record is from Rfam. NCBI's taxonomy places the organism in Eukaryota, Viridiplantae, Streptophyta, Magnoliopsida, Malvales, Malvaceae.